Molecule: ribosomal RNA, 250 nt
Filed under: uncultured bacterium
Lineage: Bacteria
Description: partial 16S ribosomal RNA
Rfam family: Bacterial small subunit ribosomal RNA
Source: RNAcentral
AACGUAGGAGGCAAGCGUUAUCCGGAUUUACUGGGCGUAAAGCGCGUGCAGGCGGUGGGCUAAGUCGUGCGUGAAAGCUCCCAGGCUCAACCGGGAGAGGUCGUGCGAGACUGGCACACUGGAGACAGAGAGAGGCAAGUAGAAUUCCGGGUGUAGUGGUGAAAUGCGUAGAUAUCCGGAGGAAUACCAGUGGCGAAGGCGACUUGCUGGCUCUGAUCUGACGCUCAGACGCGAAAGCAUGGGGAGCGAA